This is a long non-coding RNA of Amphiprion ocellaris (clown anemonefish), 3624 nucleotides long. RefSeq lists it as uncharacterized. The record is from RefSeq and is a predicted model, not a curated record. NCBI's taxonomy places the organism in Eukaryota, Metazoa, Chordata, Actinopteri, Pomacentridae. The transcript is spliced from 2 exons.
GUCCGAGAACACUGAACACAGACAAAACGUUACACUACAGCAGCUACUGCAAGUUAUUUUAAUGCCUGUGAGUCCGUCAGCAUAUUUCUCAAGCUGACGGUAGCAGGUCUUUCACUCCAAAUCCCUCUAUAUAUUGAAGAUGUUAUACUUUGGCAUGAAAAUGUUAAAAAAUCUGCUUGUUUUUGCUACACAAAAGCUCUUCUGUUAUACUUUUGACACUCUUGUAAGAAAACUUUUUAGAAAUCAGGGACACCGUUUGAGCUUCUUUGGCACAAAUUUUUGAUUUCAUAACAAGAUCGUGACACUUUUUUUCCCCAGUUCAGCAUCAUUAAAUCCGACCAAUUGUCCCAAAAAUAUAAACCAGAAACCCAGAUACUGGUAGACAUAUUCAAUGACUGUCAGAAAACUUGAACUCAUUGGUCUGAUGGACAUGAAACGGUUUAGAAAGAAAGCUUUUAUACAUCCAUGAACUGUAGAAGCUGGGAACCCUGAACCUGACUGCUCACAGAACUUCUUUAUGUAGUAAAGAAAUGCAUUUUUUUGUGGUGCAACCAAAAAGUUGUGGGACUGUUUGUGGUGUACAUGGACAAAUCACAGCGAUGGUACACCUGUGUAUUAAGUAGAAGCAGUAACUGUCAUGAGUCAGGAGACCAUGUAAUAGCCAAACUUCAUGUAGAGGAUCAUUGCUGGUGAUGGGAGGAGGGUCUGUCACUACCAUCAGGACAAGAAACAACAGUUUCAAAGACUGAUUAAGGAGCAUCAGUUCAGGAGCUCGAUGUUUUCCUCAACAUUCAAGCGGUUGUGAAUCAAUCUGUCAUAAAAUCCUGAAGGAGAACAAUCAGCGCAAAUGACCUGAACUGAGAUGAUGGCAUGUUGGUGCCCCAACUGCACUGUGCACCCAAUCAGAGUGCAGAGAUUAGAUUUUCUUUUUGGCCUAAAAACAAAAUCGUCACUCUCCAGCAGGUCAUCUCACCACUUUUGCCUCCUUGUGUUUGCUGACUCUUCCCCAAACUGAAAUUCAAGUUAAAGGAUUUCUGUUUUGACAGUCUAGGAGAUUCAGCGCUAACUGCAGAUGUUGGUUGACAUGUUUACAUGACUGGACUUCCAGGAAGCGUCAUAAGCGUUGCAGGAGCACCGGGAGCAGAGGAUCACUGCACAAGCAGAAUGGGAUGGUGGCACAAACUUUUUGAUCACAUCUUGUAUCUCAUCGCCUGCUCAGAAAAUUUGUCAAAAUGUGGCAGAAGGCUAAUCUGCUGCUGCAACAGGAGAAGCUAACAUAUCGUUUCCAAUGAAAAUAUGGACAAGUCUGGUAUUAAUGUAAUAAAAAAGCUGCAGUUUACAAGCCGUUUUGUGAUCCAGACCCAACUGAGACUGAUGGCUGCCUACCCUGAGCCUGGUUCUGUCUGAGUUUUUUUCUCCUUCCUGUCUCAGGGUUUUUUCCUUCCUUCCCACCGUCGCUCACAGGAAAACCAAAGGCAUCUUUGGAUUGUUGGGUUCUCUGCUCUCUGUAAGUCAUCAGGUCUGUACCAUACUAUGCUAAAUGCUUUGAGAUGACACAUGUUGUCAAUCUGUGCUAUAUAAACAAACUGAACUGAAAAAUGAAUUGAAUAUCUGCUCCAGUGCAAUAUAUCAUCUGCAGUGUUAUACAUUUACUUGCCCUGUUCCUCUUUACUUUGAUCAUUUUUCAUUUUACACCACAUAUACAUGUUUGGCAUCUGUGUGACACUUUUGCACAGUUUUGUCACCGUACUGCUUGGAAAAAUAUGUAAAUACAACAACAGGAAACUGGUGCUGCUUGAUCAAGAACAAGGUGUAAUUAAUGGUGGUUGUUGUUCUCAGUAGUAAUCAUCCAAACAUACCAACCUGACAUGCUGAUGACUGACGCCGACCACAGAGCGACGAUGAAGCAGCCAUACAGGACGAGGCGGGACAUGACCUCAGUCAACCCUGCAGCCAAUCAGACAAAGCAAUCACCUCCUCAGUGUUUGUGUUCACCCACCGUCUCCAAACAUCAAUAUCCAUAAUGAUAUUGUGACUUACUGAUCAAAGCAGGAUAAAAACGCUGAGCUCUGGAGGAGCUGGAGACAGAAAGACAAAAUGACUAAAAACAAUCGACAGAUUCGGUGAAACACUUCUGCAGUAUUGAUCAUUUAGGCCUCUGAACAGAAACGCAGCAGAACAUGAUCCCUGUUUGAAACGCUGUGACUUUUAACCCCGCGAGCAGAACAACAGCAACCGCAGAGCGAAGUCAAGUCAACAUCCUAAAGAUGUUAAGUUUCAUGAAACCAGGGAGGGUCGAUCUGAGGAACGAUAUUGUACUUACGUAUGAAGAACGGACGCCGAGGACGAAGACGAUGCUUCGCUCUGUUUCUGGUGUGUUAAUGACUAACUACCAGUGUUUACUGAGAGUCCACAGUCUGCCGCUGGACGCUGCCAGACAACAUUGUCAACACACAGACCUCCAGCUCUUUAACCUCCACCCACUCACCUGUGCUGCACUUCACACUCACUGCUGCACUCCAGUCCAAAACGCUCUUAUUAGUGUUCUAGCAAAACGUUUUUACUCAAGACCUCAGGAAGAGAGACAGACUCACUCCACAGUGACCUUUUUACAGUCCGAUAUAUGAACCUAACGAGGCAGAAAUAGUUUGAGUUUUGUCAGAGAGCAGAAAGAAGAAGCAGCUUUUAUCCAGGUGUGUGGAUUCAAUCAUCAUGAACUUCCAGGAUUUGAAUGAGACAAAGCAAAAGAGAGGAGGACGACCAAAUCAGGGGGUUAAAAGCAGAGUGGCCAAAUAUGGAAGCAAAUCAGACUCAUCAGAUUCUGAAUUUUAAAAGCUGCUGAAUUUCUUACUUUGAAUUUUUUUGCAUCAAAAUUACGUAUGUGAAUUUUUUAUGCCUGAAUUUAGCUCAUCAAAAUUCUAAAAACCAGUUAAAAAUUCAAUCUCUUCAAAAUUCGCCAUCAAAAAAAUUUGAUGUGUUCAAAAUUCACCAUCAAAAAAUUCAAUGUUCAAAAUUCGCCAUCAAAAAAUUCAAUGUUAAAAAAUUCGCUGUCAAAAAAUUCGCUGUUCACAUGGGGGACUCAGGCGUAAACAAUCGAUCCUGGCCAAAAUCGAACCAACGCCCAGCCAAUCACGUGGCGCUCCUCCGGUCAUGUGACGCAGACGGUUCACCUCACAAGACCGGGGUCAACCACAGCUACCAGCAUGAACGACGGCGCUUCAAUGCACAAUGAGGGACGUCUGCAGCGACUGAGAAAGAGUCUCACCACAUCCUGACAUGAGGAAAAAGACUUUAUUGAAGACUACAAUGAGAAAAACUAUCAGACAUCAGACGGCUGCAUUCAAGGUGAGCUCUGAACAUUUGAUCUGGAACAGGAAUUCAAUAACAGCAGCAUGAGCUUCAUUUCAGUCUGUAGCUGCUGAAUUCAUGGAUGAAUCAUCUGGCACUAGAGAGGAAGACCAUCAAACAUCCACGUCAGCUGAUGGAGGUCCAAGAGUCUCACCCAACAAACAACCUACAGAAUGAAGACCUCCAAUCUGAUUGGACGGCCUCCUAUUCAGCCACGUGUGAACAAAUGCCUCUAAGCUGAUUUGUUUUCUAAAAUAAAUCUAGUUUGAGUCCUAA